GGAGAGAUGGCCGAGCGGUUUAAGGCGCAGCAUUGGAAAUGCUGUUUAGUAGCAAUAUUAACGAGGGUUCGAAUCCCUCUCUUUCCU
Molecule: transfer RNA, 87 nt
Filed under: Palmaria palmata (dulse)
Lineage: Eukaryota; Rhodophyta; Florideophyceae; Palmariales; Palmariaceae
Also listed under: 1 other name
Description: tRNA-Ser
Rfam family: tRNA
About the family: Transfer RNA (tRNA) molecules are approximately 80 nucleotides in length.
Source: RNAcentral